GUUGUUGUUGUUGAUGAGCAAGACCUCGACAAAGCGGAAGGCCAGGGCAGCGGGAGCCAGCAGGCGCGGGGCCUCCGAGGGCUCGGCCGACAGGCACAGCUGCACGAAGUUCUUGUCGAAGUGCAGGAAGCGUCUCACUUGAACCAGGACCUCAGAGACCUUGGCUUGGCUUUUACUGAUGCCCUGCUGGCCAGAGCUGAUGCCAGAAUGGUCGAGAACAACCACCAGUGGCCCAUUCUGGAGGCAGCCCUCAGUGGGGCAGCUCAGGAGAGAAGAGUGGAUCACGGAGGGGCACAACCCCAGCCUAGCCUGCCUGGCCUCAGCCCUGCCUCCCACUGGGCCAGCCACCGCUAUGCUUCGUUGCUCUUUAAACAGAUGAGAAAAUGUUCUUCUUCCCUUCCCAAUGAUUUAUUUGGCCCGAAGCCUGGGCAGGUUUCCUUACAGCCAGGAAGGCCUAAGAACACCCCUCCCUCAGCCCCUGCCGGCCACUGCCAAUCAGCCAGGUAGCCAUGGCAGCCCAAAGCUGCAGGCACCAAGAUCUCCUUCCAGUCCCUCAGCCCUACCCCAGAGCACUAUCAGGAGCUCAUACUGUCUCCCAAAGACAUCCAAAUCCACAUGACAGUCUUCUACCAGGGGCUGCCCAAGGCUCUUAUGACAAAUACCUCACUGCUCUGGAUGUCUCAGAUCCUGGAACGGUACCGGGGAAAGGGUGGACAAGCCCUCUGCCUGUGGAAAGUCCUGCACAUCUAGCCUCUAUCCUUCCUGCUACAGAUGCCAAAGGGGUUCAGAGCAGGGGCAAAAGCUGGGUGUUUGUUGUUUUCUUGGUGCUGUAGAUUAGGGGGCAAAGGGAAGAUUGGUUGCUCCCUAGCCAAACCUUCCAGAAGCUCAGUGCCUGGUUUGUGUUUGUGUGCAGGGCUCUGGGCAGUAGCUGCAUUCUCAGGCCCCUGGCCCGUGGGGCAGAGGGUAUAGAAGACCCUUAGAGUCCUUGGUGAUCUUCCCAUCUUAUACUGAAGGGUAUGCACAAGAGCUUCACUCACUCAUUCAACAAAUAUUUAUUGAGUGUUUACUAUGUUCUAGCCAGUGGGAUCCAGGCCAUCAGCAAGUUCCGUGGCUUCUACCUCCCAAAAUAUCCCAAAUCUAUUCACUCUUCACAUCCCCACUGCCAACAACAGAAUCCAAGCCACCAUCAUCUGGUGGCUGGAUUCUCCUAAUUUAAUCUCUAGGCUCCUACUUCUACCUUCCCACCCCAAUCCAUUCUCCCCAGAGCCCACUGAGCCAUCUUUGCAACAUGUAAAUUAGAAUACCUCUUCUUAAGCCCUCCAAUGGCUUCCCACUGUUAUUAGCACCAUGACCUUCCAGGCCCUUCAUGAUCUGGCCUUUAUCAGCCUCUUAAGU
Manis pentadactyla (Chinese pangolin) is the source of this 1395-nucleotide long non-coding RNA. RefSeq lists it as uncharacterized. Lineage: Eukaryota; Metazoa; Chordata; Mammalia; Pholidota; Manidae. The transcript is spliced from 3 exons. The record is from RefSeq and is a predicted model, not a curated record.